GGGCUGGUAGCUCAGUUGGUUAGAGCACCACCAAGGAGGUCCUGGGUUCAAUCCCCGGCUGGUCCA
RNAcentral lists this transfer RNA (66 nucleotides) under Serpula lacrymans var. lacrymans S7.9. RNAcentral's name for it is "tRNA-Trp (CCA) (tRNA-Trp-CCA-2-1)". It matches the Rfam family "tRNA". From Rfam's summary of the family: Transfer RNA (tRNA) molecules are approximately 80 nucleotides in length. Their secondary structure includes four short double-helical elements and three loops (D, anti-codon, and T loops). The record is from RNAcentral. Lineage: Eukaryota; Fungi; Basidiomycota; Agaricomycetes; Boletales; Serpulaceae. RNAcentral also lists the same sequence under 1 other name.